UUAAAAAAAAACUUUCACUAUUUCAGCGCGACUCCCCUGUUCGUGCCUCCGGAUUCCCCACCGCGUCUCCUUCGCACCCUACUUCCCGCUCCGCCGCGGCACUCCGGCGCUCCGACCUACGUUUGGGGCUCUGAUAGAUCAUGGCAAGUAUGAAAGGGGCUGCUAACUUUAGGAACUCGGCAUCUAGUGGAAAACAGUCUUUCCUUCCUCCGAAAAGCCCCUUUCCGACCAUGCCCAUAUCUUCUGCUGACUAUGGGACCAUAGGAUUGAAGGGCAUCCCGAAACUGAGAGAAGGGCACAGACACCACCAGCGCACUUCGUCUGAGAGCUUUCUCAUUGAGGAGCAGCCAUCCUGGCUUGAUGAUCUGCUUAAUGAGCCAGAGACGCCCGUGAAGAGGGGAGCUCAUCGCCGCUCGACAAGUGACUCUUUUGCAUACUUGGAUGGAGCUAAUAUUUAUGCUAACAUGGAAACCUUGGCUCAGGAGGAGGGCAGGCAGCAGGGCAUCUCCUCACAACCUUCAUGGGGAGUUCAGGACUUUGAUUGCCUUAAAGAUGCACGACAUGCUUCUUAUUAUACUGAGGCAAAUUCAUUUGGGAGAUCUCAGAAUAGAGGAUGGGAGGCCUUGAACAUGGUUAACUGUACCAGUGGUGCUCCAUUGGCAAAGGAUGAGAUGGUGCAUCCAGGGUCAACAUCUGUUCUGAGGGAAGCUGAUGCAGCAACAUCUAAUGUUACUGAGAAGGAGGAGCAGGAGCAAUCUCCCAAAGAUUCAAAAGGUACAUCCGAAAGAAAAGAAGGCUCUUAUGCUAAGCAGUCUGAUGUGGACCCAAAACGAGUUAAACAGCAAUUUGCUCAGCGCUCUCGUGUUCGGAAACUUCAGUACAUUGCUGAGCUGGAGAGAAAUGUUCAAGCCUUGCAGGCAGAAAGAAUGGAAGUUUCAGCUGAACUGCAAUUUCUGGAUCAGCAGAAUCUUAUAUUGAACUUGGAGAAUAAAGCCUUGAAGCAACGAUUGGACAGUCUGGCUCAGGAGCAUCUUAUAAAAAGCCUUCAGAAGGAGAUGCUGGAGCGAGAAAUUGCCCGGCUUCGAUCAUUAUAUCAACAGCAGCAGCAGCAACUGCAACAACCACUUGCUCCUGCCCAUAGUCGCAGUAGCAGUAGAGAUCUUGAGUCACAAUUUGCCAAUCUCUCUUUGAAACACAAAGAGCCAAAUUCUGGGCGGGAUCCAGUCACAGAAAUUGCAUCGAGAAGUGAGCUGGAAACUUGGAAUUGCAUCCAAGGUGAAUAAACAUCAGAAGGUUAAUAACUCUAGAGGCUGAUCUUCGUUUCUUUUACUUGUUUCAAUAUGCACACCUGGCAGUCAUCUUCACCUUCCGCCCAUUUGUUGAUGCUCGACCUGUCAGAGAUACUUUCUUUGAAGCUCAUUCAACAUCUGGAUCCUUUUGAUGCCAUGGAUGGUAUGUGGAUGUUUAUGUAGUAUCUGAAGGGAGCAUCGACAACCUUGAUAUCCUGUAUGUUGUAUUGCUAUUCAAACUAUUAUGGCCAACAUCAGUUGAUGGUUUUUUUUCAUUUGUAGUUACUGCUAUUGUUAAUCUUGCUUGCUAGAUGUCCGUAAAAGGCUCAGGCCUGGACGGCUUAACGAUUGCUGGUAAACUUCCCACUGUGCACGGUUCUGGUAGUGCUACUGGUAUUUGACAUAGAUGACUCAUAGUGUUGCUAUGCUGCAUCACUGUACUAUAAUCAAACGGUCGUCUGUGGGAAACUUCUUCCCACGGGAUUUGCAAGUGGUGGUCAUGAACUUGAUUUAAAGUCUUAUUGUUGCAGGCUCGUCGCUCAUAGGUAAGUUGGCUAGGUGAGUUCUUCCAUGACCGCCACUUGAAUUAAAAUUGGUAGUUCAGUGUUUCAAAACGCAGAUUGUUUUGUCUACCAUUGUGAUUGUAUACUCAGGUUUCGAUACAAUGUACCUAAAAGACCAAUACUCUACAUUGGAAAUGUAAGAAGAUUACCAAUGGGCAAUAGAAAUAUAUGUUUACAUGAA
Molecule: non-coding RNA, 2033 nt
Organism: Phoenix dactylifera (date palm)
Lineage: Eukaryota; Viridiplantae; Streptophyta; Magnoliopsida; Arecales; Arecaceae
Source: RefSeq, a predicted model, not a curated record